Molecule: ribosomal RNA, 251 nt
Filed under: uncultured prokaryote
Description: partial 16S rRNA
Rfam family: Bacterial small subunit ribosomal RNA
Source: RNAcentral
ACGUAGGGGGCGAGCGUUAUUCGGAAUUACUGGGUGUAAAGGGUAUGCAGGCGGCCCUUCAAGUCGCGUGUCAAAGUCCAGUGCUCAACGCUGGGUGUGCGCGCGAUACUGACGGGCUUGAGGGCUGAAGAGGUGAGCGGAAUUCCCGGUGUAGUGGUGAAAUGCGUAGAUAUGAGGAGGAACACCAACGGCGAAGGCAACUCACUGGACAGGUUCUGACGCUAAGAUACGAAAGCGUGGGGAGCAAACAG